Molecule: ribosomal RNA, 253 nt
Filed under: uncultured bacterium
Lineage: Bacteria
Description: partial 16S ribosomal RNA
Rfam family: Bacterial small subunit ribosomal RNA
Source: RNAcentral
UACGGGGGGGGCAAGCGUUGUUCGGAAUUCCUGGGCGUAAAGGGCUCGUAGGUGGCCAACUAAGUCAGACGUGAAAUCCCUCAGCUUAACUGGGGAACUGCGUCCGAUACUGGAUGGCUUGAGUUUGGGAGAGGGAUGCGGAAUUCCAGGUGUAGCGGUGAAAUGCGUAGAGAUCGGGAGGAACAUCAGUGGCGAAGGCGGCCUUCUGGACCAGUACUGACGCUGAGGCACGAAAGCGUGGGGAGCAAACAGG